Long non-coding RNA from Eptesicus fuscus (big brown bat), 621 nucleotides. RefSeq lists it as uncharacterized. The transcript is spliced from 3 exons. The record is from RefSeq and is a predicted model, not a curated record. Lineage: Eukaryota; Metazoa; Chordata; Mammalia; Chiroptera; Vespertilionidae.
UCUUUUCGCUGUUGCGGGCGGCGUGGGGGCCGCCGCGGCAGGAGAGAGACGCUUUCCUUUUUUUAUUUUUUUUCCCCGUGCGUUCACUUCCGGGUCCGGCGCCGAUCCGGAUGCCCGAGGCAGAAGGAUGUUUGACCUCCGGAUAAGCGAGGCGCUGCUGUGCAUUCAUUCCCGGCUGCAUCGGUGGCGGCAGCAGCGGCCCGGGCGGCGACUCUCCAGCCACAGGCGGCGGUAGGAGGCACCGGCAGGAGUGCAGGGACCCAGCGCGAGCCGAGCUGCGUUACCUCCCUUGCUCGGUCCUUCCCCCCCUACCUCGCUCGCUCCCUCCCUGCGUGGCUCGCUUUCCUCCUCCGGCCGCCGGCGGGUGUGAUGUGCCGCCGCCGCCGCUGCCCCCGCCGCCGCUGACUGACGGACCGGGGGCGCCGCCCGCGCCCGGACCGACCCCGCUGCUCGCGGCCGCGCCUCUGAGUCCCCAGAGGAGAAUGCAGCCUAGCUGAUACCAUGAAUGAAGCCUGUGAAAACUCAAGCAAAUGACUCAGCUGAGCCAUAUCCAGACUUCUGAUCCAUGGAAACUUUUAUGGACAGUUUCCUGAAUGUGGUGAACUAGAUGGAGUAAGGUAG